AUAGUUCGUUAGACGACCGCUUGCCCUAAAAACGUAAGAGGAAAGUCCGGGCAGCAUAGAAUAAUGACAGUUGUUAACGGCAACCGGGGGUGACCCUAGGGAAAGUGCCACAGAAACAAAACCGCCUUGAUCAUUUCGGUGAAAAAGGUAAGGGUGAAAUGAGUGGGGUAAGAGCCCACAGCGUCGUAUGGUGACAUGCGGAGAAGGUAAACCCUGUCAGCUGCAAGGAGAUCAACACAUAAGGGCGAUUCGUCCGUUGGUCGCUACCCGCUUGAUCCUGCAAGCAAUUGCAGGGCUAGAUAGAUGGUCGUCCCAGACAAAACCCGGCUUACAGGCGGACUAUCCAA
RNAcentral lists this RNase P RNA (347 nucleotides) under Candidatus Saccharimonadota bacterium. RNAcentral describes it as "RNase P RNA component class A". It matches the Rfam family "Bacterial RNase P class A". From Rfam's summary of the family: Ribonuclease P (RNase P) is a ubiquitous endoribonuclease, found in archaea, bacteria and eukarya as well as chloroplasts and mitochondria. Its best characterised activity is the generation of mature 5'-ends of tRNAs by cleaving the 5'-leader elements of precursor-tRNAs. Lineage: Bacteria; Candidatus Saccharimonadota. The record is from RNAcentral.